AGUUCAGGAGGCGGACCCCCCGAGGGCAGCGCUGCGGGGCCGUUUUCCGGCCCUCCUGACGCGACACUGCCCCUCUCCGAGAGCUGAGAAGGAAAAGAGGAGCUUGCGGAGGUGCGGCUGCAGGCCGUUGUUGGUCGAGCUGGCGGGUCCCGCGGGCCAGGCCGUGGAGGUGUUACCUCAUUUUGAAAGUCUUGGGAAACAGGAAAAAAUUCCUAACAAAAUGUCAGCUUUUCGAAAUCAUUGUCCACAUUUGGAUUCAGUUGGUGAAAUAACAAAAGAAGAUUUGAUACAAAAAUCCCUUGGUACUUGUCAGGAUUGUAAAGUCCAAGGACCAAAUCUUUGGGCAUGUCUGGAGAUGUUCAUAUGUUGGCUGUGGUGAAUCACAAGUAGAUCACAGCACCAUACAUUCUCAGGAGACAAAGCAUUAUCUAACUGUGAACCUUACCACUCUUCGAGUAUGGUGUUAUGCUUGCAGCAAAGAAGUAUUUUUGGAUAGGAAA
This 500-nucleotide long non-coding RNA is filed under the name Homo sapiens (human). RNAcentral describes it as "non-protein coding lnc-FUBP1-6:3". Lineage: Eukaryota; Metazoa; Chordata; Mammalia; Primates; Hominidae. The record is from RNAcentral.